UCACUUUACACUCUCAUUCUGAUCCUGGUCCCACUGAAAAUCACACCAAGAAAUGGACUGGGACCAAACCAAACCAAACCAAACAUGAAAUUCAUGGUCCCACCAGCCAGCCUAAUCAGAUCAAUAAACAAUGCAUCAGUUAAAUUUGAGUAUUUUAAUUUUCUUGUCAAGUUUGAAUCAUCUGUGAUGAUUGAAGAAGCUCUAACUCUCUGUAUACUUUAAUCAUCUUUUGCUGAGAAGAUAUCUGUCUCAGAGAUGUAUGAUUAAAGAGUUUAUCAAAACUCUGUUUUUUUAUAUGGAGCUUAUUCAGAAGACACACUACAUGAUCUCAAUGAGUCAGAUAGAAGCAUUAUUUGCAACCAGCUACAGAAGAUUUUUUUUCCCUUUAACAAAUUAAGUCAGAUUUCAGUGACUCUUUUAUCAGUAUGCAGAUAGUCUGCAAUGUCUAUUAGUGAAGUUUCUUACUGAGAUGUAGAAUCAAUCAACCACAUAUGUUUGCAUGAUUAUGUCUUCACAACCAUUCCUCAAUCUGAAUCCUUUAAAAAUGUGGAAGCAUUUAAUGACUGGUUUUCUUCUCUGCCUCAAAGAUGGCUUUCUGAUUCAAAGAGAUAUCAAGAUUAUCUACCAGACAAUGGGACCAUUAAGUUGACUCAUGGAGACCACUCAUGUGUUCUUGCUGUAGUUGAUUGGGCUCAUACUGGCUGGUACCCGGAAUACUGGGAGUAUUGCAAAGCCUUAUACACAUUAGACUAUAAGGGAGAAUGGUGUAAUGUUUGGAUACCCAAAUUCUUAACCACAUAUGAGACUGAGUUUGCUGUUUUUAGUGAAUAUGUGCUGCAGAUUGGAGCAGUAUAGGGAAACAAUUGCUAAAUGCCAGAAACCAAAAUGAAAAUUGGGAUUUAGUAAUCAUCGUCUCGUUGACCAGUCAUUGAUUGCCGUUGUGCAAUGGUGAGGUACGGCAGGCAUACAGAUGAGCCUCUUCUCGCCGGAAUCCUUGGUAAAAGGGUUAAGCACAAGUGGCCAAUUGAUGAAAGCCUAGCUUGACCUGAGCACGGAGAACAAUCCUUGAAUACUACGAGUAUUUCCAUUUGUGAUUGUCUCGUUGACGGAAUGCCAGCUCUUUGUCAAACACUUCCUCGGACUAGCCGCUGACUUUGAGUGGACAUUGGUGGCACCACGGUGCCAGAAUUGAUGGUGUUUUGGUGUUGGAUGCUUUCUUACUGCCUGCUUAGCGACACAACUAUCUUGUGAUUUGCUGCUGGGGAAAACUCCCUGCUAGGUAGUAUCCUGUGCGAUGUUGUUAUUGGCACCCUAGCGGCCGACCAAUGUCGAAACCAUUCUCACACCUCGAAUACAGCAAGAGAAGAAAUCUCCUUUUAACCCAGUGGUAAAAGUUCAAUUUUAUAUCUAUUCCUAUAGCUGAACGAGGUUCGGAUUUUUGCUAAGAAAUUUUCAACCACAAUGAACUUCGAACCCUGCCAGCCAAUGCAUGUUCAACUCUUAUCGUGAUUUCGCUCCAUCUAAGUUAGUAGUAUUAAUACACCCCACACCAUUCUCAUUACCUCAAGGAGUAUAGAAUUCAGGGCUAUAUUGGAGGAUUAGUCAGGGGGCUA
This 1613-nucleotide small RNA is filed under the name Histoplasma ohiense. Its description in RNAcentral is "hypothetical lncRNA". Lineage: Eukaryota; Fungi; Ascomycota; Eurotiomycetes; Onygenales; Ajellomycetaceae. The record is from RNAcentral.